AUAUGAAUCACCUAGAGACCUUGUUAAAAUGCAGAUUCUGAAUCACCAAGUCUUUGGUGUGUUCUGAGAUUCUGCAUUUCUAACAAGCUCCUGAUUCAGGG
RNAcentral lists this microRNA precursor (101 nucleotides) under Marmota monax (woodchuck). Lineage: Eukaryota; Metazoa; Chordata; Mammalia; Rodentia; Sciuridae. The record is from RNAcentral.